CCCGCUUGCCCGCUCCGGGCCCACUGUGCUGGUCACUAAGUUGAGGGCCUCCUGGAAGGACCGCCGGACGGUCCCCAUCCACUGGGUCAUGUGGGUUUGGGCCACCGUGAGUUUGUCUCCCAGAAGUUCUGGGCUCGCCCGGAGAGGGAAGCCAGCAGCCCUCUUCAGUGGGACCCAGAGUAAAUAAACAUCGCUGAGCCAGCAGCCUUUGGCAUCCGCGGGUCUUACUCCGAAGCAGAGGCGGUUCAGGGUCAAGUCCACCCCCCAGAGUUGUGAGUAAACACGCCGGGAGCUCCAAGAUCCAGUUCCCAGCGCUGGCCGGCUGGCUGGCCGGCUCGGGUGACCAGGAGCUUGGAGGAACUGGGCUGCCGCGCUGGCUCCAGGGCGUGACAGUCCCCGCGAGGUGGGGGAGGAAGAGGCGGUGGCCCUAGGCACCCCCGGGCACCCUCACCCUCACUUUCCCCCAGGAAGGCGGGCCCCCCAGGCGCUGGAAGGACCCGGUGCCACCCGCCGCUGCCCCCUGCCCAGCUGCCCUCUGCGGGGCCCUGCUCACCUGACCCACGCAGGUUUCCCCUCCUCCGGCUGAGGCUUCCAAACCUGUGGGCCGGCGGGCAGCUAGCUCAUUUCCGGAGGCAGCCACCAGGGCCCCGGGUCCCCUGGCUCGGCAGCCCACGAUGACAUCAGCCCCCGUUCUCAGCGAGGGGCUUCGCUGCCCAGGAAUGCAGGAGGGGCCUCGGGGAGGCGGCCGCCCAGGGAGCUGGCGUCCGCCCCCAUUUGUUCUCCCCCCCAAGUCUCAACUCGCUCACCGUCCCGCGGGUCCGACGAUGUCUGCACGUGCCCAACAGCCUACCCGCCCUGUGCCCUGACCGCGGGCGCACCGAGAGAUGCGGCUGCACGUGUGUGCGCCUGGGCACGUGUGUGCAUGUAUGUUGGAGAUCUGAUAGCCCUGGGAAGGCUGAAGCAGUUGGGAAACUGCCUCUAGGGUGAGAGGUAGCGAGCGCCUCAGGACCUCUGGUCGGUAGUCAGUCAGUCUGUCUCCCUCUGGUGGUCCCUUUCUCUGUCAGGUUCCCAGCCUCUCCUUCCUCCCCCGUCUUUCAAUUUCCACUUGUUC
Long non-coding RNA from Sus scrofa (pig), 1111 nucleotides. RefSeq lists it as uncharacterized. Lineage: Eukaryota; Metazoa; Chordata; Mammalia; Artiodactyla; Suidae. The record is from RefSeq and is a predicted model, not a curated record.